Long non-coding RNA from Centropristis striata (black sea bass), 1536 nucleotides. RefSeq lists it as uncharacterized. The record is from RefSeq and is a predicted model, not a curated record. NCBI's taxonomy places the organism in Eukaryota, Metazoa, Chordata, Actinopteri, Perciformes, Serranidae. The transcript has 4 exons.
CAUGGAGACGCAUUUGAAGCAGUUAGGCCAAGUAAAGGAAUAGCGCAUGCUAAACUGCACACAUCACAAGAAUAUAGCCUGCAAGAUGUGGUGAGGGAGGUCGCGGAAUUUAGGAUAACCCGACUGACUGACGUGGAGAACGUGGAGUCACGAUAAACACUACUUCACCUAAGAGACUUGAGUAUCCAGUUCUUCGUUGACCUUCAGCAUUCAGUUGUUUGUCUUCACCUUUUCAGGCUAAAACCUGAGAAGCCAUCACCAUGUUGUUGUUUCACAUCAGAAUAAGUAUUUCACAUGAUGCAGAUUUUUCAGCAUGUGGUCCUCAAUAUAUAGUAUAGAAGUCACUGUAUUUUCUGACUUUUCCAGGUUUCCUGUGUCCAGCAUCUUCAAGACAGACUAAGCUAACUUUUCAUAUUUUUUGCACAUUUAUAUUUAGGUUAGGUUAGGAGUAGGUUAGGUUUAUAGUAGAGUAUUUAGUUUGUAUAGUUUAGCUUUUUAUGCUGGUCUAGGGACAGUUAAGUUAGCAAAUUAAUUCAGUUCAGAUCACUUACAGUUGCAUAUUAUUGUUACAAUUGUGUUAUUUUGUGAGUUAUUGUUGUACAGGCUAUUGUAUAUUGCAGGACCAAGUGAGACGAGGAAGACCACUGCUUCCAAGAUGCCGCGCUCAGAAAGUGCGUUGGACAAGUCUCGACCUUGCAGAUCCUGCCCCACUUAGCCCAACCACUUCCGACCAUGGGGUACCUCAAAGACCUCCGUCAACCAGCCGGCUGUGGAUGAUGGAUAACGCACCCACAACUCCUUCUCCAUUCUACAAGGUUCUGAAAAUACAGACACCCCCACAGUCCAAGAACAGCUGGAUGACCUCUGGACCCACUUGCCCCCGUUCACCAGUUGAAAAGAUAGUCUUUUUAAAAAAAUCUUUAAUUGUUAAUUCUGCACAAAGUGAUACACAAAACAUUGUAUGUCUUCCAUUUCAACAAACACAAACAUGAAAUGUAUAUUUAAAUACAUAACUUAAUGCAAAUCAAUCAUACUAAACAUCAUAUUCUUUUUUUUUUUAAACCAACCAUUGCACGCACUUCCAUCCAAGGAGAGGUUACAUCAUGAUGGUAACUUUUUAGAUUAACAAAACUUUUGUGAGAUUUGUAAUUGUUGUUUCUGGGAAGGGGGCGGAGAGGGUAAGUCUAAACAUUGCAUGCAAGAGACCAACACCGGUGUCUCAGGGGAAAGCUAUCUGUAUACACAAGUAUCAAUCUACUUGGUUGCUUCAAAAUUUUACGAUAGUUUUGCAAUUCCUGACCCAGAGAGAAGGACAUCAAACAAGCAAAAAAAACAAUGGUAGAUUUUCAAGGCCUUUCAAUGACAUUAACAUUAUUUUCAAUGACAUUAAUUUUGCAAUUAAUAUUAGUUUUAUCUUCUAAAACAUAACUAUAAUGACAUUCAAAUGUAGAUUACCACAAACACAAUAAUAAACUUCUUCAAGUCUCAUUGUAUAAAAUAAAAAAUUAUUGACAGUCCUGAAAUGAUGGGUUAAAC